AGUGACAUAAACAUGAUCCAAAAGAUAAACACCUACCAAAACCAAUUGGGGUACCAGGAAAUGAAUAUCUGGAUAUGAAUAUCAACAAUCAUUACUAAAGAAUCAUCACACCAACAUUUCAGAAUCAGGGGGCUAACAUGAUAUCAAACCAACUCAAGAGAUUUCAGACCUAGUGACAACCAAAGGCAUAUGACUAUUUAACCUAUUUCAGACGAAAUUGUGGAAAAACAAACAAUCAUUCAAAAGAAACAACUAAAUUAAAAGAAACUAAGCAAAUAUAGAGGCAAAGAUAGAAAACUUAGCUUUUAUACAGGCCAAUCUAUCUUGAGAUCACUCCGUUGGUUUCUGACCUCUUCUAUACAGGUUUCUAACCCUCUAAAGCAACUCAUUUUGAACUAAUGGAUUUUAGGGGUUCAGGACUGGGGUUCUGUGAUUCUGAGACCAAGUGAGGUCUCAGAUUUAAGUUUUCUCGGUAAUUGGUGGUAUUUGGGGGUUGUGGGGGCAUGGUUGGGGAGGCAGGGGAUUGCCUGAGACGAGUUUGACAAACUUCUGCCAGGGUUUGAGUUUUAGGGUUAAACUUCAAAUUAAUAUUCGAGAUGUUUCAGGCGGAUUCGAAGGGUGUAACAUACACAGUGAGAAAGAGGAGGAUAAGAUGCUUCUGGGGUGUAAUUUUGGAGGGGUUUGGGGUUGGGUUGCCGGAGAUGGGGGUUCCACUGGACUUCUUUUGAAGAUUUGAGACGAUGAGGGGUCGUUUGAAGAGGAUGGAUUGCAGGACGGGGAAUGGGAGAUUCUGGUGGUCCUACGAGGUAAAGUUGGGGAGGUUUGGAACAGGGUCGCCGGAGGCGGUGGUUCCGACGACCUUACUUUUGAAUAUUCGAGACGGAGGAGAC
RNAcentral lists this long non-coding RNA (890 nucleotides) under Nicotiana benthamiana. RNAcentral's name for it is "long non-coding RNA (NBEN_LNC022756)". The record is from RNAcentral. Lineage: Eukaryota; Viridiplantae; Streptophyta; Magnoliopsida; Solanales; Solanaceae.